GUGGCGCCGCCGCGGUAAUACCGGCGGCCCGAGUGGUGGCCGCUAUUAUUGGGCCUAAAGCGUCCGUAGCCGGGCCCGUAAGUCCCUGGCGAAAUCCCACGGCUCAACCGUGGGGCUUGCUGGGGAUACUGCGGGCCUUGGGACCGGGAGAGGCGGGGGGUACCCUGGGGUAGGGGUGAAAUCCUAUAAUCCCAGGGGGACCCGCCAGUGCGAAGGCGCCCCGCUGGAACGGGUCCGACGGUGAGGGACGAAGGCCAGGGGAGCAAACCGGAUUAGAUACCNGGGUAGUCC
Molecule: ribosomal RNA, 291 nt
Filed under: uncultured prokaryote
Description: partial 16S ribosomal RNA
Rfam family: Archaeal small subunit ribosomal RNA
Source: RNAcentral